Molecule: transfer RNA, 100 nt
Filed under: Ophiocordyceps unilateralis
Lineage: Eukaryota; Fungi; Ascomycota; Sordariomycetes; Hypocreales; Ophiocordycipitaceae
Rfam family: tRNA
About the family: Transfer RNA (tRNA) molecules are approximately 80 nucleotides in length. Their secondary structure includes four short double-helical elements and three loops (D, anti-codon, and T loops).
Source: Rfam by way of RNAcentral
GCCUCUAUAGCUCAGUGGUAGAGCGUUGCACUUGUACCCCUGGUACGGUUCCGCAUAGCGUGCCAUGCAAAGGUCCAUAGUUCGAUCCUGUGUGGAGGCU